UGCUAAACAGCAAGUUGUAAAUACAGUAUGCUUGGGAAUGUCUACCUGGCAGAAAUCUGUCACUAGGUGGCUGAACACUGUGACUACAGACAACUGGCAAGAAGAAAAACCUUCCUGUUAGAAUCCAGUAGUGCAUGAGGCUCCUUGUUAAGGGGCUGUGUCCCUUGGUGACAAAGAAUGAAACCAGAUCUGGAGGAGGCAGAGUGUCAGAAAAUUUAUUGAACAGAUUAAAGGAGCUCGGGACCUCGCUGGCACUGAGAAUGGCUUCAGUUCAUUUUGGAGAGCUCUGGUCCUCGCUUUGA
Molecule: long non-coding RNA, 302 nt
Filed under: Chinchilla lanigera (long-tailed chinchilla)
Lineage: Eukaryota; Metazoa; Chordata; Mammalia; Rodentia; Chinchillidae
Description: lncRNA (ENSCLAG00000024184.1)
Source: RNAcentral